AUAUAGACAUUUGAUAAUAACAGUUACAAUUUUUUUAUUUUUUCAACAAAAUAUGUAUUUUUAUAUUUUCUGUUUUUAUAAUAAAAUUUAUUUGUUUUAAAUCUUUUUUGAAACCAUAUUUGUGUUCUCCAGAUUUCUGUAUAUAUUAUGAUUUUAUAAAUUACUUUUCAAUUAAUGUAAAUCCAGAAUCCUUUAUAUACUAAAGUGCAACUCGAUCGACCAAUUUUAUUGCUACAAAUGGAUUAUAUCUAAGAUUAAAAACUAAUUAAAUUAAAAUUCUUGCAGUUAGAUAAUUGUAAAAGGUAAAAAGUUAAAUAAAAAUGUGUCUAUCCAUUCUUUACUAUCUUCAAUUUUCAAAAACUUAAAUCCUUAGAUUUUCUCUAUUCACUACCACCACGUUCAAGGUGAAUCAUGUUAUUUGCAUAACUUUCAAAUCAUGGCCAUAUUUUAAACGGUUUCAUAUCUAUCUAUCUAUCUAUACUAAUAAAGUGAGUUUUUCUCCCUCGUUUGCUGACAAGUGUCGUCCUUUCAUUCGUUUCGAAUUGGGCUUUGGUUUUUAAUUCAGCCUUCUUUUCUGUGUUUAUGUUGAUUUUGAAUUGGGUUUCUUAUUCUUUGCUUCAGGCCCAGUUAGCAUAUGUUUACCUUUCUUUUUCCGUUUUUUCUUCGUAACCUUCACCAACGAUUUGAUUUAGCAAAAAAAAAAUGCAGAGACCGAACACGACGAUCACCUCUCUGUAAUCUCUCAAGUUCGCAUUGACACCUUCUUUACUAAUUAAUGCUUUGAUUUUAAUGAUGGUGUUCAAUCAAACCAAGCCAUCGCUUUCUCGUCCAUCCAGCUUCCCUUCGGACCCUCCCUUCGUAACCAAACCCAAUCUAUAUAUAUAUGAACCCAAACGAGUAGUCUCUGCAAAUCUUAUCGCCUCGGUUUCUUCUUUCACACCAUUCUAUCUGUAAGAGUCUGAAAGCAUGGUUAAUCCUCAGCUUCGUCUGAGCUGAGGGUUAGACGUUGUAAGGAGACUGUUCUCACCCGGCUCCUUCAUCUUAGGGAAGCAAGGAAUAUGAAGAAAGGUGGUGAGUAAUGGCCGUUGAUAUGGGUUUGGUGGACGAGAAGCAUCUUAGAGAAGGAUGGAUUUUUGAGCUCCGUGUAUUCGAGGUCACUGACGGCAGUACCCGUCUCGGACCAAACCACUUUCCUCGAGAUUAUGGAAACAAACAACCCUUUACCUACGGAGAUCUUCAUGUUCUGCAAUUAUGAGGAACUUAUGUUGCUAAUACGUACACCCAAUUACGAGGUUAGUUUCAAGCAUAACCUCAAUAGUCGUACGAGUCAAUACAUAUCUUCGAUAAUUAAAAUGUCAUAAUACGUCACUGUUUCAUACAAGAUAGUUUUGGUGAAGUAAUGGCCAUCAAAAACACAUAUAUGAUACAACUAUGAAACACAUACAAUCAGUGCCGGCCCAGUCUAUAAUAUUGCCUAAAGCAAAAACCAAAUUUCGCGCCCCAAGAGAUUCGAACCUAUCAACUUUAAACCAGGUAAGGGUACACAACCACUAGGGCACAUGAAAGUUUUGGUCAUUGUGAUGCCCAUAAAUAUACAAUCCAGCUCUGUUUUCGGGAAGCUCAGAAUGUGAAAAAGGUGGUGCACUUAUGGGUGUCGACAUGCUAACUAUUGGAUGAUAAGGCAGGCAUAUCUCAUCCAAGCCUCUGUAAUGGUCCAUCGGCUUAACGCAUUCAAGUAACUUCUUAAGGAGGGAGCUACACAUGAGCUUAGUGGAGAAUUUGAUGGUAACAAGAAUUUGGAGCACGAGAUCUCCAUGAGACUUUUAGCUAAGGCGAAGAUAAGCUCUUUAUAAGUUAUCUUCUCCUCUACGUGUUACGUGAAUUAGUCUCUUCAAUUUGUUCAAAGUGAUUCUCUUCAGCUUGAUCAUAAUAUCAUUGAAUGUAUAAACCGCUAAGCAAAGCACAAUAUAUACACAAGAACCCGGAGGAAUGGAGUGUAAGGGAUUCUCAGUCAUGUGUUAUGUAAGCUCUUCUAUCAACAAGAGACUGUGAAGAUCAAUAUAAUCAAACCAAGAAGUCAAUUUUGGAUUGUUGGAAGGGAUGGAGAGUCUGGGAUGACAAGGUGAUACUGUAGGUUCCAUUGCCCGCCACAGUUUACCAAUAACUGGUUAGAUUACAUAGCACAUCUACUUUAUUUUCACUAUUAAAUUAGUUUUUCUUCACCGCAGUAGCUCUUGGAGGCUCAAGUGCUCAACCUUUCUUUUGGUCGCUAAUGCGUGGAAAAGUACCAGAGCUGGCGUUGUUGGGAUGAGGAGUUUGAGUUUCCGCUCACAGUACCAGAGCUGGCGUUGCUCACAGUUGAAGUUCAUGCCAGAGAAGGACGACUUUGAGACAGGGUAUACGUUAUGUUCCUUUGUAUGAUCACAAAGGCGAGAGACUUGUCGUGCUCGGUUACACUUCUAAUGUGGUUUUCCAGUUUGUUUAUAAAUCAGAGUUUCUUUCUUCUUAUACUGUCGUACUUCAAAAGAGUUGUAGUAGAGAAGUUUUUUAUUACGCAAAACAUAUAAGAUAUAACGAAUCAAAUAACUAUGAUUGGAUAUA
Brassica napus (rape) is the source of this 2601-nucleotide long non-coding RNA. RefSeq lists it as uncharacterized. The record is from RefSeq and is a predicted model, not a curated record. Lineage: Eukaryota; Viridiplantae; Streptophyta; Magnoliopsida; Brassicales; Brassicaceae. The transcript is spliced from 6 exons.